ACAGGUGUUGCAUGGCUGUCGUCAGCUCGUGUCGUGAGAUGUUCGGUUAAGUCCGCUAACGAGCGCAACCCUCGUCGUAUGUUAUAUGUGUCAUACGAGACUGCCGGUAAAAAGACCGGAGGAAGGUGAGGAUGAUGUCAAGUCAGCAUGACCUUUAUAUCCAGGGCUACACACACGCUACAAUGGUCUGUACAAUGGGUAGCCAAGCCGCGAGGCGGAGCCAAUCCUGAAAGCAGGCCUCAGUUCAGAUUGUAGGCUGAAACUGCCUGCAUGAAGUUGGAGUUGCUAGUAGCCGCAGGUCAGCACACUGCGGUGAAUACGUUCUCGGGCCUU
RNAcentral lists this ribosomal RNA (333 nucleotides) under uncultured Anaerolineaceae bacterium. RNAcentral describes it as "bacterial SSU rRNA". It matches the Rfam family "Bacterial small subunit ribosomal RNA", at positions 1034 to 1382 of the family's 1533-position model. The record is from RNAcentral. Lineage: Bacteria; Bacillati; Chloroflexota; Anaerolineae; Anaerolineales; Anaerolineaceae.